This 619-nucleotide ribosomal RNA is filed under the name uncultured bacterium. RNAcentral's name for it is "bacterial SSU rRNA". It matches the Rfam family "Bacterial small subunit ribosomal RNA", at positions 338 to 948 of the family's 1533-position model. The record is from RNAcentral.
CCUACGGGAGGCAGCAGUGGGGAAUUUUGGACAAUGGGCGAAAGCCUGAUCCAGCAAUGCCGCGUGCAGGAAGAAGGCCUUCGGGUUGUAAACUGCUUUUGUACGGAACGAAACGGUCUGCUUUAAUACAGUGGGCUAAUGACGGUACCGUAAGAAUAAGCACCGGCUAACUACGUGCCAGCAGCCGCGGUAAUACGUAGGGUGCGAGCGUUAAUCGGAAUUACUGGGCGUAAAGCGUGCGCAGGCGGUUAUAUAAGACAGUUGUGAAAUCCCCGGGCUCAACCUGGGAAUUGCAUCUGUGACUGUAUAGCUAGAGUACGGUAGAGGGGGAUGGAAUUCCGCGUGUAGCAGUGAAAUGCGUAGAUAUGCGGAGGAACACCGAUGGCGAAGGCAAUCCCCUGGACCUGUACUGACGCUCAUGCACGAAAGCGUGGGGAGCAAACAGGAUUAGAUACCCUGGUAGUCCACGCCCUAAACGAUGUCAACUGGUUGUUGGGUGCAUUAGUACUCAGUAACGAAGCUAACGCGUGAAGUUGACCGCCUGGGGAGUACGGCCGCAAGGUUGAAACUCAAAUGAAAUUGACGGCUGAGACGNGCGAGACGACGACGAGGGAGGAGG